Long non-coding RNA from Felis catus (domestic cat), 886 nucleotides. RefSeq lists it as uncharacterized. The record is from RefSeq and is a predicted model, not a curated record. Lineage: Eukaryota; Metazoa; Chordata; Mammalia; Carnivora; Felidae. The transcript is spliced from 2 exons.
CAGUUCUGGGAUGGUAGCAAACCCGGGUCGAAAUCUCCGAUACCUGUGGGUACUAUUUUGGCGUUGCCUACACAUGCCAACUCCUGCCCAGUGCUUUGCCCAUCUCAUCUCCAAUCCUCACAGCCACCCUGCCUGGAAAUGUGGGUACUACUAUCCCCCUUUUGCUAACAAGAAAACAGAGGCUAGAAGAGGCAAAGUUCCUUCCCCACGGUCACACACCCUAAAAAGCAAAGGUUUCAUGAUUCAAUCUCAGGCAUCCGAAUCUCCAUGUUCUCACCUGCCAUGUGUGUAAGAGGAGAGCCCCUGUCCCUUUUGUCACCUGCAAGACUAAUCUUAAUGCCUGAGGAGAUGGGGCUGUUUCUCCCUCCGUGGGCAGGGCAUGCCCGGAGCCUGUCCCACGGCAGGCAGACGCAGGAGACAGAGACCCAGCACGUCUGGGGUUGUGGGCAGGGCUAUGACUCAGCCUGCCCCGGGAGAACCACGGGCUUGGAGGAGACGGCAGCAGACCCAUCAUCCUAAAGGAGACAGAGCACAAAGAGCAGGACAGAAACCAAACAAACUGGCACAAGGGCACCUGAACGCGCAGCUGGGGAAAAGCUCGGGCAGAUAAUCGGCGAAUCCAAUUUCCAGCUGGCUCUGCAGUGCAUGCGUCAGCCACCAGCAUUUUCCAUCAGGCCUUCCACAUCUCCGGGAGCCCAGAUUUUUGAGCAAGUGUUUUCACAAGAAGAGGAAGAGACCCAAGGGGCAUGGUCACAGAGGAAAGAUGGCAAGAAGGUGGCCUUCUACAGCCAAGGAGAGAGGCCUCAGAAGAAAUUAAUCGUGCCUGCACCUUGAUCUUGGAUUUCCAGCCUGUAGAACUGUGAGGAAAUACAUGUCUGUUGUUUAA